RNAcentral lists this ribosomal RNA (513 nucleotides) under uncultured bacterium. RNAcentral's name for it is "bacterial SSU rRNA". It matches the Rfam family "Bacterial small subunit ribosomal RNA", at positions 32 to 524 of the family's 1533-position model. The record is from RNAcentral.
AAUCAACGCUGGCGGCGUGCCUAACACAUGCAAGUCGAACGCGAAAACCCCGCAAGGGGUUUAGAGUGGCGAACGGGUGAGUAACACGUGGGUGACCUACCUUCGAAUGGGGGAUAACGUCCCGAAAGGGACGCUAAUACCGCAUAACAUCCUGCCUUUGAACAGGUGGAGAUCAAAGCCGGGGAUCGUAAGACCUGGCGUUUGAAGAGGGGCCCGCGUCUGAUUAGCUAGUUGGUGAGGUAACGGCCCACCAAGGCGACGAUCAGUAUCCGGCCUGAGAGGGCGGACGGACACACUGGGACUGAGACACGGCCCAGACUCCUACGGGAGGCAGCAGUGGGGAAUUGUUCGCAAUGGGCGCAAGCCUGACGACGCAACGCCGCGUGGAGGAUGAAGGUCUUCGGAUUGUAAACUCCUGUUGCCCGGGACGAAUGGCUCCGACCUAACACGUCGGAGUGUGACGGUACCGGGUGAGGAAGCCCCGGCUAACUCUGUGCCAGCCGCCGCAGUAAC